AGGGAAUCUUGCGCAAUGGGCGAAAGCCUGACGGAGUGACGCCGCGUGUGGGACGAAGGCCUUCGGGUCGUAAACCACUGUCAGUGGGAAAGAUGGAUGCCGGCGUGAUAACCGCUGGCAUCUGACGGUACCUGCAGAGGAAGCCCCGGCUAACUCUGUGCCAGCCGCCGCGGUAAUACGGGGGGGGCGAGCGUUGUUCGGAAUUACUGGGCGUAAAGGGCGCGUAGGCGGACCGAGAAGUUUUGGGUGAAAGCCCCGGGCUCAACCCGGGAAGGUCCUGAAAAACCAUUGGUCUGGAGUGCUGGAGAGGCAAGCGGAAUUUCUGGUGUAGCGGUGAAAUGCGUAGAUAUCAGAAGGAAGACCGGAGGCGAAGGCGGCUUGCUGGACAGCAACUGACGCUGAGGCGCGAAAGCCAGGGGAGCAA
This 424-nucleotide ribosomal RNA is filed under the name uncultured bacterium. RNAcentral's name for it is "bacterial SSU rRNA". It matches the Rfam family "Bacterial small subunit ribosomal RNA", at positions 356 to 771 of the family's 1533-position model. The record is from RNAcentral.